AGUGAACGCUGGCGGCGUGCUUAACACAUGCAAGUCGAACGAGAACGGAAUAUAGCUUGUUAUAUCUGUCAGCUAAGUGGCGCACGGGUGAGUAAUGUAUAGAUAACCUGCCCUUAAGAAAGGAAUAACAGUUGGAAACGACUGCUAAUGCCCUAUAUGCCUUUAAUACAUAAGUAUGCAAGGGAAACGCUUUAGUGCUUAAGGAUGGGUCUGUAUGGUAUCAGCUUGUUGGUGAGGUAAUGGCUCACCAAGGCUAUGACGCCUAACUGGUUUGAGAGGAUGAUCAGUCACACUGGAACUGAGACACGGUCCAGACUCCUACGGGAGGCAGCAGUGGGGAAUAUUGCACAAUGGACGAAAGUCUGAUGCAGCAACGCCGCGUGGAGGAUGACACAUUUCGGUGCGUAAACUCCUUUUAUAUAGGAAGAUAAUGACGGUACUAUAUGAAUAAGCACCGGCUAACUCCGUGCCAGCCGCCGCGGUAA
Molecule: ribosomal RNA, 485 nt
Filed under: uncultured bacterium
Lineage: Bacteria
Description: partial 16S ribosomal RNA
Rfam family: Bacterial small subunit ribosomal RNA
Source: RNAcentral